CUACGGGCGGCUCCAGUGAGGAAUUUUGCGCAAUGGGCGAAAGCCUGACGCAGCAACGCCGCGUGAGUGAUGAAGGCCUUCGGGUCGUAAAGCUCUGUCAAGUGGGAAGAACCUAUGUAAUGUUAAUAUCAUUAUAUACUGACGGUACCACUGAAGGAAGCACCGGCUAACUCCGUGCCAGCAGCCGCGGUAAUACGGGGGGUGCAAGCGUUAUUCGGAAUCAUUGGGCGUAAAGGGCACGUAGGCGGCCUGGUAAGUCAGAUGUGAAAGCCCGGGGCUUAACCCCGGAAGUGCAUUUGAUACUGUCAGGCUUGAGUAUGGGAGAGGGAAGUGGAAUUCCUGGUGUAGAGGUGAAAUUCGUAGAUAUCAGGAGGAACACCGGUGGCGAAGGCGACUUCCUGGACCAAUACUGACGCUGAGGUGCGAAGGCGUGGGUAGCAAACAGGAUUAGAUACCCCCGUAGUC
This 465-nucleotide ribosomal RNA is filed under the name uncultured bacterium. RNAcentral's name for it is "partial 16S ribosomal RNA". It matches the Rfam family "Bacterial small subunit ribosomal RNA", at positions 339 to 795 of the family's 1533-position model. The record is from RNAcentral.